GUUGGAAGGGACCUUAAAGACUACCUAGUUUCAACCUCCCUGCCGUGGGCAGGAAUGGCACUCACUAAAUCAGGUUGCUCAGGGCCACAUCCAACCUGGCCUUGAACACCUCCAGGAUCUAUAUUAAAUCCUUUUGAUCUACAUUAAACGCUUUUGAUCUGCAUUAAAUCUUCAGUGAAAUAUUAUUUAUUCAUGGAUCAAGAGACGUAAUAUAAUCAAUUCUCAAGAUACAUUCAGAUUUUUCAGUACCUCAGCAAUUUGAGGCCCAGGAAAGCUCAAUAUAAAUCCCUUUUCCUCUCCUGUUGACCAAAUGAAAUAAUUCACAUUUUUUCUGCUAAUGAAUGACAUAACCUAUGUUAUGCAGAAAAUUUGAAUGGAUUAAGCAAAUACAUAAGUGUAGCAAAAAUCUGUAUUUCAGUUUGUUUCAAACCCUUCUUCAUUCCUUAUAUAAUUCAGACAAGAGAGGCAAUCAGGCCUUGGAGCUACUUUCCAAUGUUGCAUUUACCUUUCCAUGCCCACUUACCUUACUGGGAGCAGCUGCUGUGCCCCUCUGGAUCUCCUCCCAUCCACUCAAUCCAUUGCUCAGACCACUUUAGAAGGAGACACUAGAUGGAAAAAAUUGUGGAUGUCUGUUGAUCCAGCAUUUUGUCACUGUGAUGGUGAGCUGUCCUUUGCUUUCUGCUGGUCCUCAGGACACUGCAUCCCACUUUGCCUCAUUGGCACAGGCAUAUGCCUGCCCUGAGUUUCCUCAAGAAUUAAUUUCUUUGUUCACAUGCUCCACAGUCAGACUGAUGCCAGCUGGUGCUAACCAGCUAUGAGCAUGGGUGAUGUCCUGGUCUGAAAGUCCUCAUCAUGUGACACCCUCUGUACACCUGAUUAAAAUCAGUGCCUGUUGUGACCAGGCAGUAUUUCGGGUCCUGGUCUGGUUCCCCCCCAAGCUGGACUUCACACACAGUUUGGCUCUUGUCCACAGUGAUGGAUCUGAUUUUGCAGAUGAACCUUUAGAAGGCAAAUGGUGCAGACUGUAGUGCUGAUAACACAUAAAUGCAGGACUUCCUCUUCAUAGCUUUGAUGUCUGUGUAGUUACACUGAAGAGGAAGUCACGAGUUCUCACAUUUUACUUUAAAAGCUGAAAUAAGAGGCUGCUGCACUUUCUUCCAGGCCCAAGACUGACUGGAAAGGUAGAGAAUGUUUAACUUCUCACACAAACCCUGCCUAGUACAUUGUGUACUCUUGUGCUGAGUGGCUGCUCCCCAUUCUUCCCAUCAUUUUAGGCACUCUGGGCCCUCUUUUGCACUGUGAGAAGGGCUAAUGCCAUUGUGGGAAAGGAAAACAAAUGUCUAUGCAAUUAUUCUUAUCCCCUCUUUUAUAUAAGUAGAACUGUCUUUGGAUCUUUCCAGUAAUAAUUAUCUAACACAAGCCCAAACGCUUUUAAUGAACUGAAGUAAACACCCAGACAAAUCUUAACUCCCUGUAGGAAGGAUUCAGUGAUGAAGGAUUUCCCUGGAGCCUCUCUUUUUUGUGAUAUUUGUUUCUGUAACUGUUUUAAUCUUUCUUAUGUGAAAUAUCCUUAAUGAAAUGACACCUUUGGUUAUAGUAUUGUUUGAAGGUAUACCAGAGAUUGGUAACUCUGCUAACAGUAAUAGCAUGAUUUAGUUUUUACAUCCCAGGUUUUCAAUAUUUGCAUAAACUUCUAGGAAUCUCUUUCACAAAAAAUAAUCCAAAUAUGUGAAGUGAAAGAAGAGAACUGAGAAGUGAUUUGCACACAGAAAGGGUUCCUGUACACACAGCAGCAAAACAAGAUCGCAGCACCAUGUGAACUUGAAAACCAGGUGAACUUGAAAACCUUCACCUGUGCUCCUAUGUCUUUGUUUGCCUUAGUUCUUAAAGAAAUGGUAAAUGAAAGCAAACAAAAAAACCAAAAAACCCCAACCCAAUCCCCUAAAAAGAUGGACAUGCAAGGGAACACAAAUGCUGGCUACCUCCUACCAGCAAGACUGAUCAUUCCAGUAUCUGUGAGAAAAGGAAUUAAAAAUAGUAUGUGUGAAGUACCAUCAGGGUCUAGCCCCACUGCCUGUGGGACGAUCCAUUUCUACCUAUUUAUUGCAACCUUUCUGUUCUAAGGAUAACUUUCUAUAGGUCUAUUAGCCUAUAGAUGAAAUAGGCUAUAGCCAGAAGGCCAGUUUUUAAACAUAGUCUGUCUUUUGAAGUGCCUUAGAGGAGGUUUCAGGUUUUAUAGGUUAUAUCAACUCUGAUGAACAAUUUUUGCUUUUGACAAUGCCGAAUUAUUGGCAUUGAUAAGAUGCCAAUUGAUAAGAUGAUGCCCUUUAUGCAAGAGCAUAAAGGCAUAGGAUAAGCUGAAGUAAGACAAAUUUAGAGUAUAUAUUAGUAAGAAAUUCUUUACUGUGAAAGUGGUGAGAUACUGGCAUAGGUUGUCCAGGGAAGUUGUUGAUGUCCCAACCCUGGAAAUAUUCAAGGCCAGGUUGGAUGGGGCUUUGAGCAACCUGAUCUAGGUGUCCCUGCCCAUGGCAAGGAGUUUGGAACUAGAUGAUCUUGAAGGUCCCUUCCAACCCACGCCAUUCCAUGAUUCUAUGACUGUCUCCUAAAACUUGAAUUACUAGUCUGCUGGAGAGCAAAGAUUGAGCUGAGGUGACUAUACAAUUUUUUCAGGAGAGGCAAGUAAAAAUUAUUUGCAUCAUCCCUGCAUACAUUUUCCCAGGUUAUUCACUGAGUAUGUAGGCAGAUGUGCCCUACCAAGGAUAAAAGAUAAAUGUACAGUCAUAUUCAGGUACCACGGUGUGUGUUCCAGUUGACCAUACUCAAGUGUUUGCUUUGUGAGCCCACUGCCUUUCACACAUUCCCAGUGUUACCUGUCACACAAGCGUCAGUGGAUGUACCAAUGUUCCUAACACUGUUUACUUUUCCUCUUUCACCUGCAGGCAGCUGGUCCUUAGCAAGGGCAGCUGCUGUGUCAGAGCACCAGCUGUGCUCCCAGGCUGAGCCCCACACACUGAAGGCCACCAGCUCUGUUCUCUGUUACACAGUUCUCAAGCUUUUCUAGUCUGGGAUCUUUACACUCCCUCUCUCCUUCUUAAUUUCUGUCAUAUUCUGCCCCUGCUGCAUAGUUUGCAUUUAUUUGCAUAAAAUAGUUACUUUUACAACUGCUUACAUAAAUGCAUAUUCAAUUUUCCUCCAGCUCAUUCUGUGCAUCACACACUGAUGUUUUGCACUCUUCACAGUCCCCAGCAUCACUAAAAUAGUCACUCUCCAUGAAAGUACUUUUCAGGAUGUGAGCUGAGGAGCUGCAGCACAGCGGUGUUACCAGCUUGUGCCAUUGAAACACCACUCACAGUGCUGUUUGCUAAUGCUCUGGCUUGUGGCAGACAUGUAAAGGUGAGUUUUCCAACUUACCUAUAACAGAAAGGAGUGUAUUGCUAGGGCUGUCUUAAUGCCAAAGACCUCAAAAGUAAAUGUCAGAAUAAUUGUGCUCAAUGACAGCAAAAAAAAAAAAAAAAAAAAAAAAAAAAA
Long non-coding RNA from Taeniopygia guttata (zebra finch), 3528 nucleotides. The record is from Ensembl. Lineage: Eukaryota; Metazoa; Chordata; Aves; Passeriformes; Estrildidae.